UAUAGCUCACUAGUCGAGUCGGCCUGCGCGGAAGAUGUAACGGGGCUCAAACCACACACCGAAGCUGCGGGUGUCACGUAAGUGACGCGGUAGAGGAGCGUUCUGUAAGCCUGUGAAGGUGAGUUGAGAAGCUUGCUGGAGGUAUCAGAAGUGCGAAUGCUGACAUGAGUAACGACAAUGGGUGUGAAAAACACCCACGCCGAAAGACCAAGGGUUCCUGCGCAACGUUAAUCGACGCAGGGUUAGUCGGUUCCUAAGGCGAGGCUGAAAAGCGUAGUCGAUGGGAAACAGGUUAAUAUUCCUGUACUUCUGGUUACUGCGAUGGAGGGACGGAGAAGGCUAGGCCAGCUUGGCGUUGGUUGUCCAAGUUUAAGGUGGUAGGCUGAAAUCUUAGGUAAAUCCGGGGUUUCAAGGCCGAGAGCU
This 423-nucleotide ribosomal RNA is filed under the name Pseudomonas aeruginosa. Its description in RNAcentral is "bacterial LSU rRNA". It matches the Rfam family "Bacterial large subunit ribosomal RNA", at positions 1136 to 1564 of the family's 2925-position model. Lineage: Bacteria; Pseudomonadati; Pseudomonadota; Gammaproteobacteria; Pseudomonadales; Pseudomonadaceae. The record is from RNAcentral.